Molecule: non-coding RNA, 117 nt
Filed under: Macaca mulatta (Rhesus monkey)
Lineage: Eukaryota; Metazoa; Chordata; Mammalia; Primates; Cercopithecidae
Source: Rfam by way of RNAcentral
GCUGGGUGUGAUGGCUCACGCCUGUAACCCCAGAACUCUGGGAGGCUGAGGUGGGGGGAUCACCUGAGGUCAGGAGUUUGAGACCAGCCUGACCAAUAUGGCGAAACCCCAUCUCUA